Molecule: transfer RNA, 85 nt
Filed under: Algoriphagus alkaliphilus
Lineage: Bacteria; Pseudomonadati; Bacteroidota; Cytophagia; Cytophagales; Cyclobacteriaceae
Also listed under: 2 other names
Description: tRNA_Leu_TAG
Rfam family: tRNA
About the family: Transfer RNA (tRNA) molecules are approximately 80 nucleotides in length. Their secondary structure includes four short double-helical elements and three loops (D, anti-codon, and T loops).
Source: RNAcentral
GCGGAUGUGGCGAAAUUGGUAGACGCACUAGACUUAGGAUCUAGCGCCGCGAGGCAUGGGGGUUCGAGUCCCUCUAUCCGCACAA